UGACAAGCCUAUGUUCUUCUACGUGACGU
This 29-nucleotide non-coding RNA is filed under the name Mus musculus (house mouse). The record is from RNAcentral. Lineage: Eukaryota; Metazoa; Chordata; Mammalia; Rodentia; Muridae.